RNAcentral lists this ribosomal RNA (611 nucleotides) under uncultured bacterium. RNAcentral describes it as "bacterial SSU rRNA". It matches the Rfam family "Bacterial small subunit ribosomal RNA", at positions 125 to 731 of the family's 1533-position model. The record is from RNAcentral.
UCUGCCUGGUAGUGGGGGAUAACUGGCCGAAAGUUAAGCUAAUACCGCGUACGUCCUACGGGAGAAAGCAGGGGAUCUUCGGACCUUGCGCUAUCAGAUGAGCCCAAGCCGGAUUAGCUAGUUGGUGGGGUAAAGGCCUACCAAGGCUACGAUCCGUAGCUGGUCUGAGAGGAUGAUCAGCCACACCGGGACUGAGACACGGCCCGGACUCCUACGGGAGGCAGCAGUGGGGAAUAUUGGACAAUGGGGGGAACCCUGAUCCAGCCAUGCCGCGUGUGUGAAGAAGGUCUUCGGAUUGUAAAGCACUUUAAGUUGGGAGGAAGGGCUUUAGGUUAAUACCCUGAAGUCUUGACGUUACCAACAGAAUAAGCACCGGCUAACUUCGUGCCAGCAGCCGCGGUAAUACGAAGGGUGCAAGCGUUAAUCGGAAUUACUGGGCGUAAAGCGCGCGUAGGUGGUUUGUUAAGUUGGAAGUGAAAUCCCCGGGCUUAACCUGGGAAUGGCUUUCAAAACUGGCGAGCUAGAGUACGGUAGAGGGUAGUGGAAUUUCCUGUGUAGCGGUGAAAUGCGUAGAUAUAGGAAGGAACAUCAGUGGCGAAGGCGACUACCUG